This 256-nucleotide ribosomal RNA is filed under the name uncultured Atopobium sp. Its description in RNAcentral is "partial 16S ribosomal RNA". It matches the Rfam family "Bacterial small subunit ribosomal RNA", at positions 264 to 525 of the family's 1533-position model. Lineage: Bacteria; Bacillati; Actinomycetota; Coriobacteriia; Coriobacteriales; Atopobiaceae. The record is from RNAcentral.
CCUACCAAGGCAAUGAUGGGUAGCCGGGUUGAGAGACCGACCGGCCAGAUUGGGACUGAGACACGGCCCAGACUCCUACGGGAGGCAGCAGGUGGGGAAUCUUGCACAAUGGGCGAAAGCCUGAUGCAGCGACGCCGCGUGCGGGAUGAAGGCCUUCGGGUUGUAAACCGCUUUCAGCAGGGGACGAGGCCGCAAGGUGACGGUACCUGCAGAAGAAGCCCCGGGCUAACUACGUGCCAGCAGCCGCGGGUAAAUA